GCUGCUUCAGGGUAAACCUGUCGAAAGGCAGGGGCACAAAGCCAUGGGUCUAAGGCUUUUCCCUUUAAGGGGUUAGCUCCUCUAAAGGGAGGCUAUGAUCGCCAGGCUGCCAGC
This 114-nucleotide non-coding RNA is filed under the name Thermanaeromonas toyohensis. Its description in RNAcentral is "c-di-GMP sequence". It matches the Rfam family "c-di-GMP-I riboswitch aptamer". Rfam says of the family: GEMM was predicted in a large-scale screen for bacterial structured RNA regulatory elements. Lineage: Bacteria; Bacillati; Bacillota; Clostridia; Neomoorellales; Neomoorellaceae. RNAcentral also lists the same sequence under 1 other name. The record is from RNAcentral.